GCCCCUGUAGCUCAAUUGGAUAGAGCGCCUGGCUUCGGACCAGGAGGCUGCGGGUUCGAGUCCUGCCGGGGGCGCCA
This 77-nucleotide transfer RNA is filed under the name Chloroflexota bacterium. Its description in RNAcentral is "tRNA-Arg". It matches the Rfam family "tRNA". Rfam says of the family: Transfer RNA (tRNA) molecules are approximately 80 nucleotides in length. Lineage: Bacteria; Bacillati; Chloroflexota. The record is from RNAcentral.